RNAcentral lists this long non-coding RNA (224 nucleotides) under Eucalyptus grandis. Its description in RNAcentral is "long non-coding RNA (EGRA_LNC006500)". The record is from RNAcentral. Lineage: Eukaryota; Viridiplantae; Streptophyta; Magnoliopsida; Myrtales; Myrtaceae.
AGAUGGUUAAAAUUGAAAAGUUGCCUAAACUACAUUAAUGUAAUAAAGUCAGAACUUGAGUGGGUUAUUUUUUUCUUAGUAGUCAUCGAUUGACACAAUUCCUAUUUCCCUUGUCACGAAAGCAACACCCACUGACCAGAAAAUACAAAGACGCGGAGUAAUUUUGGCCAAAUAUCACCUCCGCCAGUACAUGUCAAAAUAAGCAUAAUUAUCCAUCCAUUCCC